UACGGAGGGUGCGAGCGUUGUCCGGAAUCACUGGGCGUAAAGGGCGCGUAGGCGGUUUGUUAAGUCGGCUGUGAAAGCCCGGGGCUCAACCCCGGAGGGUCAGCCGAUACUGGCAGACUAGAGUACGGAAGAGGUAGCUGGAAUUCCCGGUGUAGCGGUGAAAUGCGUAGGUAUCGGGAGGAACACCUGAGGCGAAGGCGGGCUACUGGGCCGAUACUGACGCUGAUGCGCGAAAGCCAGGGGAGCGAACGGG
This 253-nucleotide ribosomal RNA is filed under the name uncultured bacterium. Its description in RNAcentral is "partial 16S ribosomal RNA". It matches the Rfam family "Bacterial small subunit ribosomal RNA", at positions 524 to 776 of the family's 1533-position model. The record is from RNAcentral.